GCUUAGCGUAGCGUAGCGUAAGUUCUACCAGGAAACUUGAAUGUUACGUCAUUCAUUUCACAAGGCGCAAUCAAUCACUCCUGAUUCUGAUUGUAUAUAAGCCUCGUACUCACUUGUCUUUGCGUUCGCAGAUACUGAUGCCAGCAUUUACACGCUCGAUGUUCAGUGCACAUGUACACUAAAGCGUUGUUACCUGUAACACGCCGAUUCAAAUGAUGAGUGAUUUUAUCGGGCAUUCGAACUGUUUUCCUGGGAUUUUCUCAUCUCGUUUCGUUUCACCUGCACCAUCGCGAGGAGCUCUCACAGAAGGUUAAAGACUUAAAAGGGAAGUCUUCAAGCUUCCUUAAAAGUGUGUAACCCUGCAGUACACAGGGAAGGAUACCACAGGCCGUUUCUUUUAUGAACAGUGCAAGAACAUUUGGAUGAUCUGUAAAGUGUAACCAUAAUAUUAAUUGACUGUCGCACACUCUGAACGCCCGCAGCAGAUGUCACUAAUCAUCAUUGAUUGGCGAAGCGCUGCACCUGCACGCUGGGAGUCGCCGUGGCGGCUUUGGAAGAAUGCUGAAGUUUGUUUUCUCCCUCAUCACAGGAUCUUUGUCUUUCAUCUAUAAUACCAAAUGCUCCGCUUAUUAUUGUUUUUAAACCGUACGCGAAUGUUUUGUGAAGCAAAGACAUGGAAUCGACUUGGAUGAAGAGACUAUUGCUCGCGAAAUGUCACACAUUAAAUUCCGCGUGUAUGCAAUGCAUGACAUGCUGCAAACAGGCAAAUGACGCGGUCUAAUGUUCGCGUGUUUCAUUGGAAUAAGGAAUGCGCAAAGUAUACGAGCUUCAUCUGAACUGUCCCUUUCAGUGUUUCCCUAAAACAUCAAUAAUAUAAGGUACUAUUUAUUCAUGUAACAGGUCUUGCAACGUCCUAUACCUGCUACGGUACUACAAUGCAAGUUGCUUAAUGCCUAACAGUAUUCAUGCAAACUGUUCAUAUCAAAUGCAAAUAUUCACGUUAGAUCUUCACUCACCUGACCCUAAUUACAGACUUUAAGGAUACGGGGAUACGCUAUUUUACGAACUUUAAAUCUUAUGGUAGGAUACACCAUUAAUAUAUCAUUGGAGAAUAAAUCCUGGUCAUACAGCGUAAAGUUUUCAAGCACACAUUUUGUUGCUGAGCAAAUCGUAAGUGUGUGUGUGGUCGAAUGGCAACAGUAAUGCAUAUUGUCAAUUUUAUUGAGCACGGGGUUCAGCAUAAAUGUUUCCAUCUAAAGCUUUGUGCUUUAAGAUCUUCAGUUAUGCACAUGUAUAAAGUACGAGAAUGCAUCAACUUUUAACUGUACUUUUCAAAUGAGACUUUAUUCCAGAUCUCAGUCAACUUCUUAUCCGAGCUCGGUUGCGUUGAACAUCCCAUCUAUGUAUUUGGAUUAUCUUCUCCUAAGGUAAGCUCUCUUAUUCAUUAUGCUGGAUUGGCUGAUAGUGCACAGUACAUGCUUUUACAACCGAAAGAUGGCAAUGACUAUGUCUUACAGCGCAAUAUGGAGACGGAGCUGAUGUUGUGUGGUGUCUUUAAUACAAUUACGUGCAUUGGUAUUAUUUCUAAGCCGUUGUUUUGAUCGGUGUGCAUUAUGUGGAUGUCUCAACAAAGUUGAGCCUGUAAACCCUCAUGUCGAGUUUGUUUGUAUGCAGUAGACCUCACUUAAAGUUGAAAAACGCGCGCCUUGCCUCUUUAAGAAUACAACAGGUUGCAUCAGUUUAAACCAUUAAGUGCAUUGUGCUUUAUUUGCGACGCAGGCACACAGAAUAUGCGUAUGGGUAGGCUACAGCGGAUGUCUGGAUACUGGUUUGAAGAUGUAAUGUGACUGCUAGCUUUAAAUCACAUCACGUAAUUCCUAUUUAAAGUGCUGUUGAACGUUGGCAACAUAUGUUUCGCCCGAAAUGGUGGUGCCACCAGCUAUACAGAAUACAAACACAAUUCCUUCUUGUUUUAGCAUGGAACCCAAUGGAAAUAAUGUCUAAAUAUUUCUUCGAGUGGUGUUAUGUUCGAAUAUAGUGGUGUUCGAUUAUCUUAUGUGUUUCAACUAUUUAAUUCUAAUCGUCAUAUGCUGUUUUAAUGAAUUCCAACAUGACUGGAGAAUUGGAAUGCAUCUGAAAUAACUUGUUUCUAAUUGAAUUCUAUGUUCUGUUUAAAGCCUGGAAUACACCACAGGAUUUUUGCACUCCAAGUUUGUAGCAGCAAACGCAUUGUGCGGUGAUCAUGCUGAAUUUCUGACACCGUCAGAAAACUUGUAGGCUAUCUUGGACGCAAGACCAGGAAAACGUCCGUCUUUGAACUUCUCCCACCGUACGACACUGUACCACCGACGAAGAGCCACGAUCAUAGAAAUCAUGAUGACUGUUUCACGAUGGAAAUCUUUCGUCUGGGAAAGCCAAAAAUCAUGCAGUUAUGAUUCUAAAUGAUAACUUUACAAGAAACUUUGUCUGGAAUUAGAUGCGUACAAUCCACUUACUCUGCAUCCUCAAGAAAAUAGCGAAACAUGCAUCAACUUUCCAUAUAACCACAUUACACAGGAUGCUAGGAUUUAAACCAUUAUAACAGCACGGAUCGGAUUCAUACAUGAGGCAAGCUAUUUUAAAACUAUAUACAUGUUUUUACACAGACUAUGGGCAUGCAGUUCUAUAAGUGCUUUAUUUUCAGUGCCUGCAAUACCAUCAGGGCUCUUUAUCUACUUCCAGGAACUCUAAUUGCAAACGCUGCAAGGAUUUGAACAUGCAUUAUUGCUACAUGUACAAGAAAUAAGCUUUCGUUAGUAUUGGGCCGUGCGCACUUGCGGCGUGCACGCAGGUUGUCACGUUUCAUGUCCGCGGUCAUGUGUGGUGCGGACAUCGAUCGUUUCUGGAAUGACAGUGUGGCGGAGGAUCUUCAUUUAACAAAUAAUUCAGAACUUCUUAAGUGCAUAUCAUGUAAGAAUGUUAGCACAAACCUGUCACGUUUAAUCAUGCUAUUAUGGUUAGUUAAAGUUUAAGCUGUAAACUUUCAUCUAGAAGGCUAUUACUUUCGGAGUACGUCCAUCUAUCAACUGCACAAACCUACUGAUACCGCUCCUCAGUUUUUGGGGGGUCUUAAUUUACAUUGUAAAUGGAGAAUUUUAUAAUCAUCUGUGUGUCAUGGCGAAGCAGGCAAGACAAGGCAACGGAUCCAAAUGCAAUGGUUUAUUUCUUAAAAUCCAAAAGUGCACAAAGCAGAACCAGAAUGAAGACCAGAAUACAGGACUAAAAAGUGAUGACAGCAAGCUAUACUCGACAAAGGACAACUGAAACACAAGGACUGUAUAUAUUCAUGUGGGUAAACAAGAUAACAAGUCACACCUGGGAAACAAUCUAGAACAAGGACCAACGAACUACAAGAACUACAGACAUGGAUGACAUUACAGAACUUCAAUAAAGAGUACAAGACUGGGGAAACACGACAGUGACACCGUGCUAUCUUUAGCAUCAUUCAGAUUUGUUUGUAACCAUCUAAUCUUCUCCCUACUUUUAUAAUGACAAUAUAAAAGCAUGCAUACAUCAAUUGUCUCUCUUCAUCAGAAGCUGCGCUCCUAAUUUCAACGUGUGCAGGAAUUCACUAUGACAUUCAAUUCAAUAAUGGCAAGCAAUAAUCAAGGUAUGUCUUAAACAAUUACUGGUGGUGGUGGCGUAUUCAACCAUGCUAUAUCAUGGCCUUUGCACCAUUUAUAUCAUUUCUCACUCUGGCAUAACGUUGCCUUCUGCGGCCUACGCGGCCUCUCUGCUAUCAAGCCUAACAAGGGUUUAAUUUCCGGCCUGCGCGGCCUCUAUGCUCUCAAGCCUAACGUGCCAGCCUUCUACGGAUAUCCUCUACUACUGACGUCACGGUCAACAUUUACAGACAUGUUAAUGGAACCUCUAAGAAACACUGGUGGGUACCGAUCAUCGUGAUCAAUUUUUGGGGAUUAGAUUCUGGCCUGUCUUCAUCUUCAGACAGGAACCGCAAGAAUCCGUGACCCCUGGAUUUGAACUAUGGUCGGGGCCUACGCCAAAGAACUAUACUGUGUUAUAUUCCAGCCUUGGUUGCUAACUACUGUUAAAUAAACUCAUAUCAAUUCUUAACCUAUCUUCGAGUCUUUCUGGUAGAAAUGUUAGCUUAGCGUAGCGUAGCGUAAGUUCUACCAGGAAACUUGAAUGUUACGUCAUUCAUUUCACAAGGCGCAAUCAAUCACUCCUGAUUCUGAUUGUAUAUAAGCCUCGUACUCACUUGUCUUUGCGUUCGCAGAUACUGAUGCCAGCAUUUACAACCCACCCUCCCUACCACCAUCACCAGGUCGGUUCCGUCCAUACUCGAGGGAGAUUAGAUUCUGGCCUGUCUUCAUCUUCAGACAGGAACCGCAAGAAUCCGUGACCCCCGGAUUUGAACUAUGGUCGGGGCCUACGCCAAAGAACUAUACUGUGUUAUAUUCCAGCCUUGGUUGCUAACUACUGUUAAAUAAACUCAUAUCAAUUCUUAACCUA
Molecule: non-coding RNA, 4512 nt
Organism: Misgurnus anguillicaudatus (oriental weatherfish)
Lineage: Eukaryota; Metazoa; Chordata; Actinopteri; Cypriniformes; Cobitidae
Source: RefSeq, a predicted model, not a curated record